AGAAUCAACGCUGGCGGCGUGCCUAACACAUGCAAGUCGAACGCGGUUACCUCGCAAGGGGUAACUGAGUGGCGAACGGGUGAGUAACACGUGGGUGACCUACCUUCGAGUGGGGGAUAACGUCCCGAAAGGGACGCUAAUACCGCAUGACAUCCUGUUCUUGAACGGAUGGAGAUCAAAGCCGGGGAUCGCAAGACCUGGCGCUUGAAGAGGGGCUCGCGUCCGAUUAGCUAGUUGGUGAGGUAACGGCUCACCAAGGCGACGAUCGGUA
This 271-nucleotide ribosomal RNA is filed under the name uncultured bacterium. Its description in RNAcentral is "partial small subunit ribosomal RNA". It matches the Rfam family "Bacterial small subunit ribosomal RNA", at positions 26 to 285 of the family's 1533-position model. The record is from RNAcentral.